This 1440-nucleotide ribosomal RNA is filed under the name Triticum aestivum (bread wheat). RNAcentral's name for it is "partial small subunit ribosomal RNA". The record is from RNAcentral. Lineage: Eukaryota; Viridiplantae; Streptophyta; Magnoliopsida; Poales; Poaceae.
AUGAAGUUCACCACGUACGACAAAGUAUGUGACUUUUACAACACUUAUGCGAGAUAUGCAGGGUUUGGCAUACCCAAGAGGGCAGAACACAAGACAAAUGCCUACAUUAUCUGCUCAAGUGAAGGGGCGCACAAGCAGACUGUGUCAGAUUAUGACCGAAAACGUGAGAAGACAUCAAAAAGGAUUGCCUGCAGGGCAAAAAUAAGAGUCAAAAAGAGGAAGGAUGGCAAAUUUGUGAUAGAAAUGGUUGAACUAAAUCACAAUCAUAAGAUGUUGGAAACCCCCGGGAUGCUUCUGCACAUGCGCUCGUGCAAAAGAGAUGAUCCUUUGAUUGACCAGUUGGUGAAGGACAUGCAGCUAGACAACCACACACACACGCAGAUGAUGUCAAUGCUAUCGUGUAUGUCCGGUGGUCUGCAGUAUAUGGGACAUUGUCAGUGUCAAAACCAGCGGAUGAAACAAAAGUUUGCCAUAGAAGAGUCCAAAGAUGACGUCAAGAAACUUCUAGAUUUCUUCGAGAAGAUGCAAAAGAUAAACCCAGAGUUCUUCGAUGAUUAUGACGUUCAUGCAGAUAACCGUGUAAGAAACGUCUUUUGGGCCAACGCAAGUUCCAAACGAUCAUAUGAAGAUUUUGGAGACUACGUUACAUUUGACACGACAUAUAAAACUAACAAAUUCCACAUGACACUGGGAGUCUUCAUGGGAGUGAAGAAUCAUCUACAAAUUACCAUAUUUGUUGUCGCCCUUGUGCGAGAUGAAACAAUACCGUCAUUGGAGUGGGACCAAUGUUCUUCGAUGAAGGCAGCAUUAAAAACUAUCCUCCCAGAUACAUUACAUAAGUUGUGUCGGUGGCAUAUCAUGAAGAAGUACAAAGACCACCUCAUCUUGUUGUAUAAGGCGCACGAGAAACUAAAGGAUGAACUCAAUGAGGUGCUGAACCACCCACUAAUGCCGCCAGAAUUUGAACGGGCAUGGAAGGACCUCAUUCAGAAAUACAACUUGCAAAACAAUGAAGUGAUGAAUUCACUAUGGGUUGACAAGCACGAGUGGAUCUCAACUUACUACAAGGAAAUUUUCUGUGCUCGGAUGACUUCCACGCAGAUAAACAAGGGCAUGAACCGGAUAUUGAAGAAAAACUUCGUCAAAGAGAAGCAUGAUCUCCAUCUGUUUUCUCAACAGGUGGACAAGUGCAUUCAGACCAGGAAGGCCAUCGAGCACGUAGAGACAGUAGAAAAUGAGUCGGAGGUAAAGACAACCCAGUUUGGGUUCGAAGUUUAGCUAUCAAAAGUGUAUACAAGGGCAGUUUUUGCAGAUCUCAAAGAAACACUCUACCGCAGCACUACAUUCAGAGCAAAACGGUGCCCCGAGAACCCGACAAAGUACCUUGUACACCACUACAAUAGAACAGGUGCAUUUGACUGGGCAAGGCAUAAUUUCUAA